RNAcentral lists this ribosomal RNA (451 nucleotides) under uncultured bacterium. RNAcentral describes it as "partial 16S ribosomal RNA". It matches the Rfam family "Bacterial small subunit ribosomal RNA", at positions 29 to 523 of the family's 1533-position model. The record is from RNAcentral.
AGCGAACGCUGGCGGCAGGCUUAACACAUGCAAGUCGAGCGGGCGUAGCAAUACGUCAGCGGCAGACGGGUGAGUAACGCGUGGGAACGUGCCCUUUGGUUCGGAACAACACAGGGAAACUUGUGCUAAUACCGGAUAAGCCCUUACGGGGAAAGAUUUAUCGCCGAAGGAUCGGCCCGCGUCUGAUUAGCUUGUUGGUGAGGUAACGGCUCACCAAGGCUACGAUCAGUAGCUGGUCUGAGAGGAUGAUCAGCCACACUGGGACUGAGACACGGCCCAGACUCCUACGGGAGGCAGCAGUGGGGAAUAUUGGACAAUGGGGGCAACCCUGAUCCAGCCAUGCCGCGUGAGUGAUGAAGGCCCUAGGGUUGUAAAGCUCUUUCGGCGGGGAAGAUAAUGACGGUACCCGCAUAAGAAGCCCCGGCUAACUUCGUGCCAGCAGCCGCCGUAA